Dipodomys ordii (Ord's kangaroo rat) is the source of this 110-nucleotide non-coding RNA. NCBI's taxonomy places the organism in Eukaryota, Metazoa, Chordata, Mammalia, Rodentia, Heteromyidae. The record is from Rfam.
UGGGCUUGGCGGCUCCGGCGGCCUCCGGGAAGGGAGGCGGCGCGCGCGCUCCGGCCAUUUUCAGCUCAGCUGGGCCCGGAGUUCGUUUGGCCCUGUAGUACCCCGAGGGC